ACCUCUGCCUCCCGGGUUCAAGCAAUUCUCCUGCCUCAGCCUCCUGAGUAGCUGGGAUUACAGGCACCUGCCACCACCCCCAGCUAAUUUUGUAGUUUUAGUAGAGACAAGGUUUCAUGUUCAGAAAGGCCUGUGCUGGGCCCUGUGUGACUGCAUGGUUGCAUACACACGAUGACAGUCAUAAAUCUUCAUCAUGGUUCUUGGAACUAAAGAGGAAAGUUUGGAGUAACGUAUUACAUGGAAUAUCUUUUGUUGAUACUACUUCCUGGGAGUCACCAUAAGGCUCUUUUAAUAUAGAGUAAGCAAAAACCCAGACCCAAAAAUCCUCUAGAAAAUAUCCUCGCCUUUAAAAUUCUAAAUGACUCAUUUGUCAUCAUUGUAGAGGGAGGAGAACAAUUUCUCAGCUGAUCAUAACCCAUAGUUGUUGUGAGGUUAGAGCCAAAGUCUAGUCUUACAAAUCAUUCCUCUCUGACUACAUAAACCGGGGAAGAAGAAUGCCGAGAUUAAUGAAUUAAUUACCAUGUGUCUCCUCAUGGAGAUCAGAAAGUUAAUUGCUUCUUUUUGUCCUUCUUAUCAGAAUGUGGAAAUAUAAAACUACUCUGUAUAAGAUUGGAUUCAGUUUACAAAAAUAAGCCUGAAGCCUUUGAACUCAGGGGGCCCAGGUGGAGAGAUUCUGUUCAUUAUCUGUCCUCCUGCCUCCAGCCUGUGCCAUAGACUCCAAAUGGAUGAAAGCUCUGUAUAGAGAGGUUGUAUUACCAUGGAGUACAAUAUCUGUCAGAUUUGAGUAGAGGUGAACACAGUGGAGGAGAAUAAAGAGAGAGCUGAGUUCUGUCUCAGUGAGCACGACAAAAGGCCGAUGAACCUGUCAGAGGGCAGAAGUGGACCCCAAAGGCUUGUUCCCGCGGACUUUGCUGGUUGACUGUUCUUUGCAUUAAUCUGGAAUCAUGGCGCACCAUUACUCUUUUCAUGUUGUGAUAUUCUCUUCACAUUCUCUUCCUUGCUCCUCAAUGCCAAAUGUGUGACUUUUCAGAAACAAAAUAUUGAGGAAUUUAAAGUGAGCAUGCUGUAGCAACCAGUGAGAUGCAUGGAAAAUCAUAAGCUGUUGAAAAACUGGGAUUGGGAUUUGUUGCUGGGGGCAUAAAUUUUGUGUGUACAUCCAAAGAAUACUCCAUGCUCUGAGACUUAGAAUAUAGUCAUGUUGUGUGAAUUUAUGAAUUAUAUUGAGUAGAAAAUAUAUAUAUAUAGUCAUUUGACAUUAAGAGACAAUGAAUAUAUAAGUGUUUGACUGGACUGGCCAACAUAGUGAAACCCGUCUCUGCUAAAAAUGCAAGAAUUGGCCAGGCAUGGUGGUUGGUGCCUGUAAGCCCAGCUACUCGGGAGGCUGAGGUGGGAGAAUCGCUUGAACCCAGAGGCGGGGUUUGCAGUGAGCCGAGAUCACGCACUGCACUCUAGUCUGGGCGACAGAGCAAGACUCCAUCUCAAACAAACAAACAAACAAGCAAAAAACACAUAAAUAAAUAGUUACAAAAGCAACAAAAAAGUGACAAUAAAAUGACACUGUUAACUGGA
RNAcentral lists this long non-coding RNA (1569 nucleotides) under Homo sapiens (human). RNAcentral describes it as "HSALNT0352691". The record is from RNAcentral. Lineage: Eukaryota; Metazoa; Chordata; Mammalia; Primates; Hominidae.